GUCUUAAGACUUGUGCUUGUUUUCUAGUUUCUGUUUUAGUUCCAAAUUCUUUCCUCCUUCUCUUGCCCUCCAAGCUUUUCCCUUCAUCGUUCACCUCUCUUCUCUCCUCCUUUGCUCCUUUCUUUUUCCAUCAUUCUUCUAGUUAUCUCUUGCUCCAAACAGGUUUUCCUAUCCUCCAUUUUUUCCUUCUCUCCUUUUCUUUCAUUCUGUCAUUCGUUUGUCCUUUCUCUACCCUUUCUUGCUCCUUUGCUACACUCUUCAUGUCCUCCACUCUCUGUCCAUCUUGCUGUCUCAUUGUUAUUCUCUCUCUUUUCAGCCAGUUCCUUUCUUCAGCAGGUCCGGGUCUUUCCAGGACAUGACACCUGCCUUAUUUGAAAUGCAUCUGACGUCACUAACCCAGCCCGCUCCGCUCUGUUUAAAAAGAAGCGUUUGUUAUCUGCUCUCAACCUCUGGAACAUCUACACUUAGCUUUGAACCAUGUGCAUGCUGAAGUGGUCAGUCUUGGUAGUGCUGUGUGGACUCAUUCCUCUGAGCAAUGCUGCUUGCUUUAAUGCAAAACUGGAAUUUGGUGCGACUCAUUGUCAGGAUCUAGCGGAUAAGACCUGGCACCCCGUGGGCUCUGCCUGGACCAACAGCAAAUGCAACAAGUGUAAAUGUAACCCCACAUCACUGAGAUGCUGUGAUGGUUUACCAUCAAAACUGCACUUUUCUGGUGACUGUGAGGUGAAAUAUAAUUAUGAAACCUGUACAUUUAAAGUUUUCCAAAAGGGAAAUCCAGCCAUCGAGUGUCCUUAUUCUGCUACUGGAAAGUGAUGCUCAAGUACACAAA
Long non-coding RNA from Electrophorus electricus (electric eel), 829 nucleotides. RefSeq lists it as uncharacterized. The record is from RefSeq and is a predicted model, not a curated record. NCBI's taxonomy places the organism in Eukaryota, Metazoa, Chordata, Actinopteri, Gymnotiformes, Gymnotidae.